CGGGGUAUAGCUCAGCCUGGUAGAGCGCUGCCUUCGGGAGGCAGAGGUCGUGAGUUCGAAUCUCGCUACCCCGACCA
This 77-nucleotide transfer RNA is filed under the name Gammaproteobacteria bacterium. RNAcentral's name for it is "tRNA-Pro". It matches the Rfam family "tRNA". From Rfam's summary of the family: Transfer RNA (tRNA) molecules are approximately 80 nucleotides in length. Their secondary structure includes four short double-helical elements and three loops (D, anti-codon, and T loops). RNAcentral also lists the same sequence under 1 other name. Lineage: Bacteria; Pseudomonadati; Pseudomonadota; Gammaproteobacteria. The record is from RNAcentral.